Molecule: long non-coding RNA, 1059 nt
Organism: Heterocephalus glaber (naked mole-rat)
Lineage: Eukaryota; Metazoa; Chordata; Mammalia; Rodentia; Bathyergidae
Source: Ensembl
GAGUGCUUGCAACAAGCAUGGCGGACUGAGAUACACUGAGGAAGAGCAGCAGAGGAGGGCAGGAUGCGCCCUGCCGCGGAGAGUUAAGACAAGCCCUGUCGUCUGCGGGCUCUCACCUCAGAGUCAAUAUUAUCUCAGAUGGGCACAAUAGACUGGAAUGAAAAGCUAAUAUUGAACCAACGCGGUCCCUGCCGCGCCGCGCCGAUGCCACCCUUUGUCGCGCAGCCCCCGCCGCCCGAAGAGUUUGGAGAAGCGGAGUGACUGGGAAUCACAGUGAAUUACCGAACUUCCUAACUUGCCUCCCCGUCUCUGGUCACCUUUUGCCAGCCUUGGACCCGGGAGAGGGCUCACCCUUCGCCGGCAGCCGGCAGCGGCGCUUCCCGCGCGGCGCCGCUGACGCACAGUGAAGACUCAGAGCUUUGGCUGGUCCGGAGACUCCAAACCCGGGUGACCUGGGUAUGGCGCGGUGCUCAUGGGCCAGAGCGCACAAGGCUCGGGUUGCAAAUGCUGUAACUAAAAUGUGAUGAGCGCAAACAGUGUGCCAAGCUCACCUAUUCAACAACCAUUAAGAUAUUGAUAUUUCCUUUUCACGGAGGCGACAGCCAAGGCUGGAGAAAAUGGAAUCAUACAGCCCUGAACCCAGAGGACUCCUACGCACCCCCAGUCAGGGCCCACUCCAGAGCAAUGGGAGAGGGAGCGGGCCCUCGGGCGGCUGUUCCUCGGAAGUGUAAGGGCCAGACAAACUCCGAGCAGCGAGCAGCGGUUCUCAGAGCUCCCCAGGAAUCUCUGCCCUUUGUCGCUCCAGUGAGCUAGGACUCCAGGCUCCUCUCACCCUGGCACCUCCUAAAGGAACUUCAGGGCCUCUGCUGGAGCUUGGAGCAGCGUCAGACCGGCGUUAACUCAUUUGUACAACUUGAUUGUUCAGUCUUUGAAGACCAGCAUCUUGCCUUGUGUGGGUAGACAAUAACAGCCACAUCCAGGACAGGAGCUUUUACUGAAGAUCAUUAUGUGCCAGGCAUUGUCUGAACGCUUUAGUUUUUCUCAUUAAAUAAUUCCAAG